This 2601-nucleotide long non-coding RNA is filed under the name Macaca mulatta (Rhesus monkey). RNAcentral describes it as "lncRNA (ENSMMUG00000049557.1)". The record is from RNAcentral. Lineage: Eukaryota; Metazoa; Chordata; Mammalia; Primates; Cercopithecidae.
CCUCACCCUCCUCUGGCGGCAGCCGCCCUCCCCACGCCUGCCCCAUCCACUGCCACCAACCUGUGUCCGUUUCUCCCCCAGACGCCCUGGGAUCUGUUCCUCCUCCGCUCCCGGAGCCCUCCCCGGGUCUGGCCUCCGCGGCUCCCGCCGCCCGGGGUUUUCCUCACGUUGUGAUGUGAGGCCGGCCUCGCAGCGUGGAGGCCUGACCUGAAAUCAGAGCUGACGACUGUUCCUUCCCGCCGCGGGUUCCCGCCGCCGCCGGACGAGCCUCCCGGGAGCCGGUGACGAGCUGCCCGGAGCGCCCUGGCGGCCCCUGCGGGGACGUGGCUGAGGACGCGCCUCUCACCUCCCGCGCCGGAAGCCGGAGGAGCAGAAAACGCAGCCAUCGAGGGGCUGUUAGGGGAAGGCCGCCUGCCACAGAAGCGAGCUCUGCAUCACUCCAGCAGAAAGGGAAUUUCCUGAAAGGACACUGGGCACCUCACAAGGUCAAGAGGAAGGCUCGUGGUCAGAUUGCAUUUCCGCGUCGCUGGAAGUCAGAAGCAGCCAUGUGACUUGCAUAAGUCAAUGAAGUGUGAGCAGAAGUGACAGAUGCCAUGUUCUUUCUCCUGCCCAGAGAUCAGCAAUGUUCAGGCAGUCGAGGCUCUGUCGGCCAGGAUCCUCAAGGGAAAUUACACGGAGUAAAGCUGCCAGCACCCGGGAACAGACACGCAGUAUGAGUGAGGUUGAAGCCACAGAGACCUUGGCAUUGUUACCACAGCACAACCAAACUUACCCUGACUGACACAGUUAUUUAUUUUAAAAACUAAGAUUUGAAUUAGGCCAGGCAUGGUGGCUCACACCUGUAAUCCUAGCACUUUGGGAGGCCGAGGCGGGCAGGUCACCUGAGGUCAGGAGUUCGAGACCAGCUUAACCAACAUGGUGAAACCCCAUUGCUACUAAAAAUACAAAAAUUAGCCAGGCAUGGUGGCACGUACCUAUAAUCUGAGCUACUCGGGAGGCUCGGGCAGGAGAAUUGAUUGAACCCUGGAGGCCAAGGCUGCAGUGAGCCGAGAUCAUGCCACGGCACUCCAGCCUGGGCGACAGAGCAGGACUCCAUCUCAAAAAAUAAUAAUAAUAAUAAUAAUAAGACUUGAAUUAAAAAUAAAAACACAGGAAUUAGUCUGUAUCCAGCCAGGGGAGAGAAGUCACAGCGUAGGGGGGUCACCUCGUCUUGCUGCACUUUGCUUUAUUGCUCUUCCUAGAUACUGCAAUUUUCCGAGUUGAAGGUUCGUGGCUACCUUGCACUGAACAAGUCCAUCAGGGCCAUUUUUCCAACAGCACGUGCUCACUUCCUGUCUCUGUCACGUUUUGCUAAUCCUCCCAAUAUUUCACGCUUUUUCCUUAUUAUUAUAUCUGUUAUGGUGAUCUGUGAUCAGUGAUGGUUCAAGUGACUAUUGCACUUGCUUUGGGCACCAGGAACCGUGCCCAUGUAAGACAGUGAACUGAAUCCAUAUGGGUGUGCUCUGACUGCUCCACCCACCAGCCAUUUCCUGUUUCUCUCCCUCUCCUCCAGCCUUCCUAUUCUCUGAAACACAACAAUAUUGAAAUUAGACCUAUUAAUAACCCUACAAUGGCCUCUAGGUGUCCAAGUGAAAGGAAGCGCCAUGCAUCUGUCACUUUAAAUCGAAAGCUAGAAAUGAUUAACCUAGAGAGGAAGGCUGCUGAAAGCCUUCUUUCAUCUUAAAAGGUUGUUUUUCUCCUUCCAAUUUGGAGAGAACUUAAAACAUUUCCAUGAGCCCCUAGAAGCACUCUGGGCCCUAGGCACUGUGCCUACUGCACCUGUAGACAGGUCAGCACUGCCCGGUGGGCAGGGUUAAGAUGACUUGCUUGGCCAGGCUGCAGCCACCUGCUCACCUGGAGCCUAAGGAGGUGAGGUUCACCCAACCACAUGAGCCGAGAGUGGGAGAGAGGGGUCCACAAGAAAAACCCAGGGUCUUUCUCCAAAGAAGGCAGGAUGUGGAAAGGUCCCACGCAGGCAAACCACAGAUGACCCCAGGCCCGAUGCAGCUGAGGCUGAGGUUGCAGUCCUCAGCGGGUCACCCCAUUCUCAGAUCCACACUUUUCUGGGGCCAGGCCUGAGGCUAAGCCGCGCGGGGGUGAGAGAACUGGGAGCAGGGGGAAGGGCAGGCAGAGCACUAACCCCUAGGACCUCUUUCCCUGGAGAGGCAGCAGUUUGAGAAUAAAACCCAGAGGCCUUUCUGACAAUGGUGGCUGAUAGCAGACCUGGCUGAAGCCAUUCGUUCUUUCUUUGAGUCAACUUUCAUUAAGUGUUAAAACCUUUGAUCUUACUUAAUGGCAAAAAGACCUGCAGACCACACAGUGCUUUGACACAGAGGGGACGAAGACACGCCACGUUGCACGGCAUGUAGAGUCUCCCUGGACUUCGAAUUCGAUGCCUUGUCACUAUGCAUCCCUUACCCUUCCCUUUUAACUAAUAGUUGUCAUAUGUGUUAUAUCUGUAUAUAUGGCAGACUCCAUCAAACAAUGUUAUCAUUUUCUCCUUUAGCAGCCAUUCGUAUCUUUAAAGAAUUUAAGAGGAGAAAAAUAGUCUGGUAUAUUUAC